UUUAUGAUUAGAAAUAAAAAUGUUUAUUAUUUUAGUAUUGACAAAGCUACCACAAAAGAUGGUACAGAUGCGCUGUAUUUAGGUGUUAAUCAAAGUUCUUAAACAUUAUUUAAUAAAGCUGGAUUGCCCCUGAAGAUGCUAAAAAUGUUUUAGCGAAACGUUGGGCCAGAAAGUGGAA
Rhagoletis pomonella (apple maggot) is the source of this 178-nucleotide long non-coding RNA. RefSeq lists it as uncharacterized. NCBI's taxonomy places the organism in Eukaryota, Metazoa, Arthropoda, Insecta, Diptera, Tephritidae. The record is from RefSeq and is a predicted model, not a curated record. The transcript has 2 exons.